This 253-nucleotide ribosomal RNA is filed under the name uncultured bacterium. Its description in RNAcentral is "partial 16S ribosomal RNA". It matches the Rfam family "Bacterial small subunit ribosomal RNA", at positions 524 to 776 of the family's 1533-position model. The record is from RNAcentral.
UACGUAGGGUGCGAGCGUUGUCCGGAAUUACUGGGCGUAAAGAGCUCGUAGGUGGUUUGUCGCGUUGUUCGUGAAAACUCACAGCUCAACUGUGGGCGUGCGGGCGAUACGGGCAGACUGGAGUACUGCAGGGGAGACUGGAAUUCCUGGUGUAGCGGUGGAAUGCGCAGAUAUCAGGAGGAACACCGAUGGCGAAGGCAGGUCUCUGGGCUGACACUGACGCUCAUGCACGAAAGCGUGGGGAGCAAACAGG